CGGUAGAUCACGAUCAAAGGGGGUGCGAGUUUUCUCCAACAGAAGCCCUGCGAAAACCCUACAUCAGCCCCCUUUCUCGUGUCUGCACGUCGAGUCGUCUCUAUCACACGCCCGCUUGCCCCGUCCUUUCGAAGAAAAACCCCCCUUUCCCUAGUUCUUUGCCUCUCUCCUUGCUCUGAUUAGUUCGCUUCCAAUUCGUCUCCGGGUCUCGGCUCUGUGUCAAGAAUUUUCCCAAGUACGUCAACGAGGACCGCCUUCGUGAAUUCUUCUCUCAGAAGGGGGAGGUCACCGAUGCCAAGCUUAUGCGCACUUAAGUAAGAGAUUGAAUGAAUUGCUCUGUUGCCCUAUGAAGCACUCUAUAUUGGUAGUUGCGUCGUUUAUGUAUGCUUCCUUGGAAAUAUUUCUGUUCAUUGAGCUUUGAUAAGCUCCAACUAUAUAUUCGAGGAGUAGCGAAUUUGUGCCGUUAUAAUGGUCCCAUCUUUUCUUCACGGGAUCAACGCAUUUUUCUUUCUUAGCUAGAAUUACCUGCUCAUUAGGCAAGUUUAAUAAGUGGGAAAAUAUUUUCUCGCCCUAGAUAGUUUCCUUCAUUCAGUGCGUGCUUAUCAAACACUAUAUUGGUAGGGUUUAGUUUUUCUAAUUUGAAUGUUCUUCUCUGGCUUUCAUUCAUUAUUGGGAGAUUAGCCAUUUUGUUCUGGCCUUCAUUCAUUAAUUUAAAUAUCUCAUCAUUUUACUGAGUGGAUCAAGAACCUAAUUCGAUUCACUUGUUUGUUUAUUUGUCACUUAAUGAUUUGCCUGGUGGCCAGUUUAAAACCAAGAAACAGAAAAAAUAUAUAUCAUUUUCUUCUGAGAUGACAUUUUUUAUUUGUAUAGUAAUUUUUAUGCCUUUGGGAUCUAUAUGUUAAACUUGUUUCUGUUAGAGAUGGAAAGAGAAGGCAAUUCACAUUUAUUGGGUUCCGAACUGAGAGGGAAGCUGAAGACGCCUCAGCUACUAUAACAAUUCUUACAUGGAUACAUGCAAAUAAUUUUUUUUGAAAAAGGAAAACAUAAAUUCAUUUAAAAUUCAAACUGCUCAGUGAGCAAAGGCAACGGUAUUGUUCGCGGAUCAAAAUUGCUUUCCCAGAAGACUCCACAGUUAACCACCCUUCCCCAGUUAGCUAGUCUAUGGGUCGAGUCUUUAUAGGCUCAACGUAUGUGUUGAAAGUCAAUCACAUUGACUUCCCUGGCCAAGUUCACUUAUCACUAAGGAGACUGUAAAGGUGCCAAGGCACCCUCCUACAGUUCCCUACAAAAUUGAUCCAUUCAUUGGAAUCUGUACAAAAAUUAUAUUCUUCCAUCCUUGCAUUUGGGCUCUCUCCAGAGCCUUCAAAAUAGCUCUGCCCUCAGUUUGUUUGGGGUCUUGCACCUUGCAUCCCUCAAAUCCAGCUGCUAGAAGUCUGCCAUCCUUGGUUUUGAUGAUGAAUCCCAAACCUGUAUUAUAGGAAGAAAAAGAGCCAUCACAAAGUAUCACAAAUUCAUGUGUCCCCUCAAUGGAAAUAUCUGAACAUUCCUCUCAAGGCGCUGGAUAGGUUUCAGGAAGUCAAUAGUGGCAGCCACUAUAUUCCAUUAUUCCUGUACAUCGCUAUGUAAUCUGAGGUAGGCAGUCUAUUCCAUAAGAAAAUUUUUAUUUUGGGAUAAACAUGUAAAUAUGCCAAAGUGCUGUCUGACCAGACCAAGAUGCAUCCAUGGAUGGGGCUCCCUCUCUCAACAAACUGUCAGCACUAUUAACCAAAGCCUCACUACUUGGAGUAAGAGCCCAUACUCAGCGGUCAAUGACCAGGGCUGCUAGAAAUAUCAAUACAAAGAAUUCUAUCGAUCAGGAGGGGAUGAAAACAGUUUGAUGAAAGCAAGAAAUCCCAAAACCCAUUUAAUAACAGAUCUGAAACCAUCUGCAAAUUCGACAUCAAAUCAGCGUUUACAAAAGUCGGCCGCUUGCUAAUUGGAAUACCAUCGAUCCAAGGAUAUGUAGAAAUCAAAGUUGAUGUACCAUCCACCAUGCUGCGUCCGAGACCUCGCCUAAUAGACAUAAUCAAGUUAUUUGUGAUCCUCCAGUUCCAUGAAACUGGUCUAUUGUGAUUGAGAUUCCAAGUCUUUAUUUUUUACUUUUGUUCUUGUUAUCUAGUCACGAUCACUAUUUUUCAAGAACCUGAAUUUCCAGGCAAUUGAUGACUCUUUGAAGAAACAUUUUAGUGAUAAAAUGAAGGAUGGGAUAAUAAAAAGCGUAAAGGUACAUUCUUGAUUGGAUUGUGAGUUUUCUUCUCUUUAUUCUUCUUUUCAAAUGUUCUUACUGUUGUUUUAGGUAAAAAAACACCAAAAAAUGGAAAGGAUGUUUCCAUUGGUUUUGUUGAAUUCGAUUCUGUGGAAACAGCAACCAGUGUGCGUAAGGAUUUACAGGGAACUGUUCUGGAUGGUCAUUCUCUUAUAUUGCAACUUUGUCCUUCCAAGAAAGCCAGACAGGUUCCUAAAAAAGACAAGAAGAUUAAGAGCUCAACAACAUUGAUCGUAAAAAAAUGUUUUUGCAUUUGAGGCAACCGAAAAGGAUCUAAAGCAGCUGUUCAGUCCAUUUGGUCAGUGAAGUUCGGGGGUCAUGACAAGGGCUAUGCAUUCUUCUAGGAUGCUACUGAGCAAGAGGCCCAAAAUGCAUUGGAGAAUCUUUCAAGCACGCAUCUCUAUAGUCAUCUGCGAGCAAAAGAGAGAAACAAUAGAAGAUCUAAGAGCAAGAGCUGCUGCUCAGUUUGGGGUUGACAAUGGUGGCUUAUCGAAUAAAACGAAGGCCACUUCUGUGGUUGAAGGCGCCAAGGAGUUAAAUCAUUCUUUCGGCAUUUAUUGAUUCAUAGAGCCCAAAGGGUAAAGCAUUCCUCAAUUUCUGCCAAAAGUUUCUGUCUGUAAAGAAUGUUCUAUCGCAGAACGAAUAACUGAUAAGAAAAAACACUGAUUCCUAGCA
Molecule: long non-coding RNA, 2980 nt
Organism: Musa acuminata AAA Group (dessert banana)
Lineage: Eukaryota; Viridiplantae; Streptophyta; Magnoliopsida; Zingiberales; Musaceae
Exons: 4
Source: RefSeq, a predicted model, not a curated record